This 500-nucleotide ribosomal RNA is filed under the name uncultured Desulfobulbus sp. RNAcentral's name for it is "bacterial SSU rRNA". It matches the Rfam family "Bacterial small subunit ribosomal RNA", at positions 888 to 1382 of the family's 1533-position model. The record is from RNAcentral. Lineage: Bacteria; Pseudomonadati; Thermodesulfobacteriota; Desulfobulbia; Desulfobulbales; Desulfobulbaceae.
CCCGCUCAGAAACUCAAAUGAAGUUGACGGGGCCCGCACAAGCGGUGGAGUAUGUGGUUUAAUUCGAUGCAACGCGAAGAACCUUACCUGGUCUUGACAUCCCGGAGACCCUUAGGAAACUAGGGGGUGCUUCCAUCUGGAAGAAUCUGGAGACAGGUGCUGCAUGGCUGUCGUCAGCUCGUGUCGUGAGAUGUUGGGUUAAGUCCCGCAACGAGCGCAACCCUUGCCUUUAGUUGCCAGCAGUUCGGCUGGGCACUCUAAAGGGACUGCCGGUGUUAAACCGGAGGAAGGUGGGGAUGACGUCAAGUCCUCAUGGCCUUUAUGACCAGGGCUACACACGUACUACAAUGGCCGAUACAAAGGGCAGCGACACUGCGAGGUGAAGCCAAUCCCGUAAAAUCGGUCUCAGUCCGGAUUGGAGUCUGCAACUCGACUCCAUGAAGUUGGAAUCGCUAGUAAUCGUGGAUCAGCAUGCCACGGUGAAUACGUUCCCGGGCCUU